GGACAGGUGCCCGAGCGGCUGAAGGGACCGGUUUGCUAAACCGGCGUAGGGGGUAACCUCUACCGCGGGUUCGAAUCCCGCCCUGUCCG
Molecule: transfer RNA, 89 nt
Filed under: Planctomycetota bacterium
Lineage: Bacteria; Pseudomonadati; Planctomycetota
Also listed under: 1 other name
Description: tRNA-Ser
Rfam family: tRNA
About the family: Transfer RNA (tRNA) molecules are approximately 80 nucleotides in length. Their secondary structure includes four short double-helical elements and three loops (D, anti-codon, and T loops).
Source: RNAcentral